GUUCGCCGCGGGGGACAAAAGCUUCGGGAAUGUGGCUCCCUCGGGAGUGUUAUAGCCCGCUGCGCAAUACCCUGCGGCGGACUGAGGUUCGCGCUCCGCAAGGAUGCUGGCGUAAUGGUCACCAGUGA
This 128-nucleotide ribosomal RNA is filed under the name Nectriaceae sp. RNAcentral's name for it is "partial large subunit ribosomal RNA". Lineage: Eukaryota; Fungi; Ascomycota; Sordariomycetes; Hypocreales; Nectriaceae. The record is from RNAcentral.